CCCUUAGAUGUUCUGGGCCGCACGCGUGCUACACUGAGUGGAUCAGCGGGUCAGGUUGCGCGAAAGUGUUUCCUAAUCUUUAAAUCCGCUCGUGAUGGGGAUUGACGGUUGCAAUUUUCCGUCAUGAACGAGGAAUACCUUGUAAGCGCGGGUCAUCAUCCCGCGCUGAAUACGUCCCUGCCCUUUGUACACACCGCCCGUCGCUCCUACCGAUUGGGUGGUCCGGUGAGGCUUUGGGAUCUGAGCGGAAAGAGCGUUUCGCUGUUUCUGCUCGGAAAACUCAGUCGAACCUUAUCAUUUAGAGGAAGGAGAAGUCGUAACA
RNAcentral lists this ribosomal RNA (322 nucleotides) under uncultured eukaryote. RNAcentral describes it as "partial 18S ribosomal RNA". It matches the Rfam family "Eukaryotic small subunit ribosomal RNA", at positions 1470 to 1796 of the family's 1831-position model. The record is from RNAcentral.